Molecule: long non-coding RNA, 442 nt
Organism: Chiroxiphia lanceolata (lance-tailed manakin)
Lineage: Eukaryota; Metazoa; Chordata; Aves; Passeriformes; Pipridae
Exons: 3
Source: RefSeq, a predicted model, not a curated record
AUAGAACACUGUUAUUUGCAACAUCUACAAUUAAUGAGUAUAAUUUACCAAAUUUUCCCCCAAACUGUAGAUGUAAUUAAGUGGAUUUUUGUUCUGCGUACCCAUACCUAGACCAUAAGUGUCUCAGUUUUUCCUCAUGAUCUCAGUUAUCUUUCCUGACAUGAACUUCUAUUUUUCCUUCAUGUCUCAAACAGUCUAACACAGUACCCUUAUCUUCCUGGAGGAGGAGCCUACACAAGAGGGAGAACAAUGCCAAGCUGAUUUUGAACAUCUUGUGUUGAUGGCCCAGUUGUGCACAUUGAUGCCAUUUUUCACAAAAGCUUGUGUAAGCUUUGAGACUUGGAAAUUUCUAAACCCCUGUCAAGAGAAAGAAAACUGAAGGAAUGCCAGCAUGCCACUUCGUAGGGCUAUCUCAAAGGAAGCUUGACUGGAAGAAGAGAAA